This is a long non-coding RNA of Salvia miltiorrhiza (redroot sage), 257 nucleotides long. RefSeq lists it as uncharacterized. Lineage: Eukaryota; Viridiplantae; Streptophyta; Magnoliopsida; Lamiales; Lamiaceae. The transcript has 3 exons. The record is from RefSeq and is a predicted model, not a curated record.
GCAAAACUCAAAGCCAACCUUAGAAACUAAAAAUCGGUGCGGUGCGAUUAAGACCCUUCUUCCGAUUUUUGAUUAUAAGCUUCGACUAUAAGUUUUGCAGUUCCAGAGUCGAGGUGGCCAUGGAAGUGGAGAAUGACUAGGGAUAGGGUUUUUGCAUUGAACUUUUUAGUUGAACUUGUUAAGUUUUAGUUUAUCGUUUUAUUUUUAUUUUAUGUUACUACUUUGAUUUCGGCACGUUGAUUUUAAAUUAGUUUAAA